CCUACGGGCGGCAGCAGUCGAGAAUCAUUCACAAUGGGGGAAACCCUGAUGGUGCGACGCCGCGUGGGGGAAUGAAGGUCUUCGGAUUGUAAACCCCUGUCAUGUGGGAGCAAAUUAAAAAGAUAGUACCACAUGAGGAAGAGACGGCUAACUCUGUGCCAGAAGCCGCGGUAAUACAGAGGUCUCAAGCGUUGUUCGGAAUCACUGGGCGUAAAGCGUGCGUAGGCUGUUUCGUAAGUCGUGUGUGAAAGGCGCGGGCUCAACCCGCGGACGGCACAUGAUACUGCGAGACUAGAGUAAUGGAGGGGGAGCCGGAAUUCUCGGUGUAGCAGUGAAAUGCGUAGAUAUCGAGAGGAACACUCGUGGCGAAGGCGGGUUCCUGGACAUCAACUGACGCUGAGGCACGAAGGCCAGGGGAGCGAAAGGGAUUAGAUACCCGAGUAGUC
RNAcentral lists this ribosomal RNA (446 nucleotides) under uncultured bacterium. RNAcentral describes it as "partial 16S ribosomal RNA". It matches the Rfam family "Bacterial small subunit ribosomal RNA", at positions 338 to 795 of the family's 1533-position model. The record is from RNAcentral.